CGCCAAUGAUGGUUAAGAAUUUCUUCACCUGAAUAAAUCAUGUGGUCAUACCGUAUCUGAGGCAC
This is a small nucleolar RNA of Tupaia belangeri (northern tree shrew), 65 nucleotides long. The record is from Ensembl. NCBI's taxonomy places the organism in Eukaryota, Metazoa, Chordata, Mammalia, Scandentia, Tupaiidae.